RNAcentral lists this ribosomal RNA (528 nucleotides) under uncultured bacterium. RNAcentral's name for it is "partial 16S ribosomal RNA". It matches the Rfam family "Bacterial small subunit ribosomal RNA", at positions 355 to 899 of the family's 1533-position model. The record is from RNAcentral.
UGGGGAAUAUUGCACAAUGGGCGAAAGCCUGAUGCAGCAACGCCGCGUGAGUGAUGAAGGUCUUCGGAUUGUAAAGCUCUGUCUUUUGGGACGAUAAUGACGGUACCAAAGGAGGAAGCCACGGCUAACUACGUGCCAGCAGCCGCGGUAAUACGUAGGUGGCGAGCGUUGUCCGGAUUUACUGGGCGUAAAGGGUGCGUAGGCGGAUGUUUAAGUGAGAUGUGAAAUACCCGGGCUUAACUUGGGUGCUGCAUUUCAAACUGGAUAUCUAGAGUGCAGGAGAGGAGAAUGGAAUUCCUAGUGUAGCGGUGAAAUGCGUAGAGAUUAGGAAGAACACCAGUGGCGAAGGCGAUUCUCUGGACUGUAACUGACGCUGAGGCACGAAAGCGUGGGUAGCAAACAGGAUUAGAUACCCUGGUAGUCCACGCCGUAAACGAUGAGUACUAGGUGUAGGAGGUAUCGACCCCUUCUGUGCCGCAGUAAACACAUUAAGUACUCCGCCUGGGAAGUACGAUCGCAAGAUUAAAA